CUGUGGGUUGUGCCUCUUACUAGCUAGCAGUCCCAACAAUGAUGGCUUUCACAGAGAUCAAAGAUAAUUAGGGUCGGGGGUGGGGGGGGUGAGAGGACUUAACAAACAUCUUUGGAAUUUAACAGAACAUUUAUGGAAGUAAUUUGAGUUCAUUAUCACAGAAUCACACAACACAGAAUAAAGUAAAUUGUUUAUGCCCCUUCUCCCACUCUAGUUUCCUUGUCUGUGGGAAACCGGUAGCCACAGAAACAUGGGUGUGUCUGUGCAGACGUGUGGCUGUGCUUACGCUCCUGCAAACGCAGAUGGUCUCUUUGUUUUCUAAAGCUAUCACACUCUGUAUGUUGUUCUGCAGCUUGAUUAUUUUUUAAAUUCAAUUUAUGGACAAAUUAGUAUAUAAAAGUUUUACCUUUUUAUUUAACCAAAUUAUUAGCCAUACCUCUGUUAAUCUUUCAAACAGGAUAGUUUGAAAGUCUGAAUAAGGAGCCACUGGUGUCUUCUCCUCCAUCAGGUGACUCUCCUUUCCCAGCCCUGCCGCAGUUGGGAGGUGUCAUCUCUGGAGAAACUGAGUCAGAGUGUAUGGACUGAUGAACAAUGAGGAAGGGAAGGUGGGGUGAGGUGCCAAACCAAAGGCAGUAGGACCAGACAGGAGUCUGUACUAUACCAUGAGGCCCCAAACUUCCUUUCCCCUUCAAUUCCAGAAUUCUGUGGGUACAGAUAAAGAGUUUGGAGGAUCUUUGAAGAAACUGAGCUACUACAGAAAAAAGACAUACAGAUACUAACAUUUGGUCACAAAUGAAAAAGCUCCCUGGAGCCUAUAUACCAAAAUUCCAAAUGAAAUAUCAGCUAACCAAUUCAAUAGUGUAUUGAGAAUAUACACAUUACAAACAAGUACUGUUUUUCCCAAAAAUACAAAGAUGGUUUAACAUCAGAAAACCUACCAAAUGAACACAACAAACGAGGUAUAACAUGAUCUCAGUUGAUACAGAAAAAUAAUUUGGUUAAGUUCAGUGCCAUUAUAUGUUUUAAAGUCUCAGUAAAACAAUGGUAAAAGGAACUUCCUUAAUUUGACAAAAGUUAUGUAACAAAUCUACAGCAAAUAUAGUCAAUUGAAAAGACUAACUUAGUUGCAGAGGUUCUGAUCAACAGGAUAAGGAAAGAAAAACUAAAUAUAAGAAUUAAAAAGGAAAAGAAUACUUUUUCACUGAUAUAAUCAGAUACAAGAUGAAUCUAUCAAAUUAAAUUGUAUUUCCCUAUACCAGCAAUAACCAACUAGAAAUAUAAGAAAUAAUAGCAGAAGAAAGCAUAAAGUUUCUGAUAUUUAACUGAAACUCGAAUAUGAAGAACCUCUAUGGGAGAUCCAAAUAAAUGGAAAGACAGUCUGUAUUCUUAUGUGAGAUCUAAUAUUAUCAGGAUGAUAAUCUCCCACUCACAUUGAUUUAUAAAUUCAGUGCUAUUCCAGUAACUGGAGAGCAAAUUACCCCAAAAUU
Molecule: long non-coding RNA, 1487 nt
Organism: Manis pentadactyla (Chinese pangolin)
Lineage: Eukaryota; Metazoa; Chordata; Mammalia; Pholidota; Manidae
Exons: 2
Source: RefSeq, a predicted model, not a curated record